RNAcentral lists this transfer RNA (81 nucleotides) under Sphaerodactylus townsendi. RNAcentral describes it as "tRNA-Ala". The record is from RNAcentral. Lineage: Eukaryota; Metazoa; Chordata; Lepidosauria; Squamata; Sphaerodactylidae.
GGAGAGGCACUGUGGCUCAGUAGCAGAGCAUCUGCAUGCUUGGCAUGCAGAAGGUUGUAGGUUCAAUCCUUGGCACCUCCA